Long non-coding RNA from Bombyx mori (domestic silkworm), 1924 nucleotides. RefSeq lists it as uncharacterized. The transcript has 2 exons. Lineage: Eukaryota; Metazoa; Arthropoda; Insecta; Lepidoptera; Bombycidae. The record is from RefSeq and is a predicted model, not a curated record.
GUUCAAACCUAUUGUCAUAUUGUAAAUUCUAUUUUGAAUAUUUUAAUUUUAAUAUUCAGUGAUGUAUAAUAAUACUCGUAAAUUGUCUUUUCUUUUUUAAAACAAUACGAUCGCUCAUCAUAUAACACACUUCAAAAUCGAUAUAAAUCUUCUGAUAAAGAUAUUUAUGAAUUAAGUAACCUUCGAUAUGACAACGGCUAUAUUGUGAUGAAUACCACAGUAAGCUUGCAUAUGUCCCCCCACCCUGUCUCCCAACUAUACCUGCUACGAAUUGUAGUUUGUUUGAAUGUUCUAUUGCAUAAUUCUCUAAUGCUGACAUCUUUUGCUUGUCACUUGUAGCAUAUAGAAAAGCUAUUUUAAAAUAUUUAAAAUAUUUAUAUAUUAUAAGGUGAUUUAGCCCGAUAAGUAUUAAAGUUUUAUAGUGUAAGUUGAUGUAUAAAAUAAUAUGUGCGUAUUGUGUUGCUUUUGUUUUUUUGUAAUUUAAAUUUCUAAAUUUCUCUUCUUGUUCACUUUCUACUUAUAUGUGAUUUUGAUUGUGGAAACAUAUUUGGUUAUUGUUUUAGCUAUAUUUUUUUUAAAUAUCAUAUGUUUGUAUUGCACUGUUUGUUUCCCUAAUAAAUAAAUAAAUAAAUAAUAAACACACAUACAAGACAAAAAAUACAAACCAAAAAUGAUAUUGCCGUUAUUCAAACAAACGAAUCUGCUAUGUCGAAACACGUUUGUAAUAGCCCAAGAGCCCGCGACAGCCAGACCUUCGUUAUUUUAUAAAAGCUGAAAGUUUCUCUGUGUAUGUCUCCAGCACAGGUAAGAACGACCCCCGACUAUAGAGUUCCGAUUGUGGUUGCUUGGGCAGGUAACAGGCAGUAAAGGUAUAUAAAAUAGUCCCUUAAAUUCUUUAAAGUAUAAAGUUAUUUUUUUUUAUUAAUUACUCCAGAAUAUCUUUAGAAAUCACGAUAUCCAUUGCCGGACACUUUUUACAGUUGCUACCCCCUGCCGGACACCCCUAAAUUUUAAUUAUACUUUCGUUAUACUAUAAAAGCUGAAUUUUAUAUAUGUUACUUAGGGACUUAUAAAAAUAUGUUACCCCAAUAGCCAGACAGUUUUAAUGGUUCUUACAUCUUGCCGGACACAUUGAGAGCCCGCUGUGCGUGCGCGAGGUAGCAACUGUUCAUGCGGGUGUGAGUGAGAUAGAGUGCUUAGUCUAUUGUGAUCUUUUACUGCACAUCAGCUGUCAUUUCUGGGAUUCAUCGUGCAUUCUUCAGGAAAGGAAAAUUAAAACCAUAUAAAACAUUAAAAAAAUAUCCAAAGUACCAGGAAGCUUUCAAGAAUUUCCGUAACAGCGAAUCAAUUGAAAAUUUAGAUCAACAACAAAAUAUCUAUAAUAUCAUUCAGAUUUAUAUGCAAUGUUUACAAUGUCCGUAAUGUAAUUGAUGUUGAUGCUGCUCGACUUCAAAUAUUCAUCGACUCGUAUACAGUCUCUGAUGUAAACGAAGCUUUUGACCGAAAGAAAUUGCGAAUUUUUUACGUUAGCAAUCUACCAACUUGUAAAAGCGAGCUAUUGCAGCAAUUUUUGCUAUCAAAUUAUAUAUAUAAAAUUUGGAAUAGUGCUCAUCUAAAAAAUCCAACCUCAUAUCAACCCGGAUAAUAAUGGCAGGGUAUUGAAAGAUGACAAAUACCAAGUUAUGUUGGAGAUUCGCUCAAAACUCAAACAGAAACUGAUGGAUAAGGUAUUGGAUAUUGGUGACAAUAGACUAGAGUAACUGUAGUAGCGACGAUGAAGAUAACGAAAAUAUCGACGACAAUGAGGAAAAUUAUAAGAACGAUUAAAUAUUUUUCUUUGACAUGUAAUAAUAUUUUGUUUGUACUUUAUAAUAUUAAAAUAACAUUUUUUACUUUCUAUAACAUUGCUAUGAACGUAAUAAAA